This 425-nucleotide ribosomal RNA is filed under the name uncultured bacterium. RNAcentral describes it as "partial 16S ribosomal RNA". It matches the Rfam family "Bacterial small subunit ribosomal RNA", at positions 354 to 796 of the family's 1533-position model. The record is from RNAcentral.
GUCGGGAAUUUUGGGCAAUGGGCGAAAGCCUGACCCAGCAACGCCGCGUGAAGGAUGAAGUAUUUCGGUAUGUAAACUUCGUAAGAAUAGGAAGAAUAAAUGACGGUACUAUUUGUAAGGUCCGGCUAACUACGUGCCAGCAGCCGCGGUAAUACGUAGGGACCAAGCGUUGUUCGGAUUUACUGGGCGUAAAGGGCGCGUAGGCGGCGUGGUAAGUCAGCUGUGAAAUCUCCGAGCUUAACUCGGAACGGUCAGCUGAUACUGCUGUGCUAGAGUACAGAAAGGGCAAUCGGAAUUCUUGGUGUAGCGGUGAAAUGCGUAGAUAUCAAGAGGAACACCUGAGGCGAAGGCGGGUUGCUAGGCUGAUACUGACGCUGAGGCGCGAAAGCUAGGGUAGCAAACGGGAUUAGAUACCCGUGUAGUCC